GGGUAGUAUAGCAAUAUAUGAGACCGGCGCACGGGUGCGUAACGCGUAUGCAACCUACCUUUUACAGGGGAAUAGCCCAGAGAAAUUUGGAUUAAUGCCCCAUAGUAUAAUUGAAUGGCAUCAUUUGAUUAUUAAAGUUCCAACGGUAAAAGAUGGGCAUGCGUCCUAUUAGCUAGAUGGUAAGGUAACGGCUUACCAUGGCCACGAUAGGUAGGGGUCCUGAGAGGGAGAUCCCCCACACUGGUACUGAGACACGGACCAGACUCCUACGGGAGGCAGCAGUGAGGAAUAUUGGACAAUGGGCGCAAGCCUGAUCCAGCCAUGCCGCGUGCAGGAAGACGCAUCUAUGGUGUGUAAACUGCUUUUGUACGGGAAGAAACACUCCCUCGUGAGGGAGCUUGACGGUACCGUAAGAAUAAGGAUCGGCUAACUCCGUGCCAGCAGCCGCGGUAAUACGGAGGAUCCAAGCGUUAUCCGGAAUCAUUGGGUUUAAAGGGUCCGUAGGCGGUUUAAUAAGUCAGUGGUGAAAGCCCAUCGCUCAACGAUGGAACGGCCAUUGAUACUGUUAGACUUGAAUUACAAGGAAGUAACUAGAAUAUGUAGUGUAGCGGUGAAAUGCUUAGAUAUUACAUGGAAUACCAAUUGCGAAGGCAGGUUACUACUUGUGGAUUGACGCUGAUGGACGAAAGCGUGGGGAGCGAACAGGAUUAGAUACCCUGGUAGUCCACGCCGUAAACGAUGGAUACUAGCUGUUCGGAGCAAUCUGAGUGGCUAAGCGAAAGUGAUAAGUAUC
RNAcentral lists this ribosomal RNA (793 nucleotides) under uncultured Bacteroidota bacterium. RNAcentral describes it as "bacterial SSU rRNA". It matches the Rfam family "Bacterial small subunit ribosomal RNA", at positions 66 to 868 of the family's 1533-position model. Lineage: Bacteria; Pseudomonadati; Bacteroidota. The record is from RNAcentral.